CCGACAGUUGUUUUGUGCGGUAAAGCGAAUGAUUAGCGCAUUUCGGGGGCGUUUAGCCUUUGGGCGAUUCUCAAACUUUCAAUGCGCAAGGGUGCCGCUGCUUAAUUGAGCGGUACCGGUAAAAACGUCGGCCCUGUGGGCCACUUUUGGUAAGCAGAACUGGCGAUACGGGAUGAACCGUAAGCAUGGUUAAGGCGCCAAACUGCCCGCUUAUAGACCCCACAAAAGGUGUUGAUUCAUCGAGACAGCAGGACGGUGGCCAUGGAAGUCGGAAUCCGCCAAGGAGUGUGUAACAACUCACCUGCCGAAUGAAUUAGCCCUGAAAAUGGAUGGCGCUGAAGCGGGCGGCCGACACCAUGCCGUCUGGACAAGAAAUGUUUUCAGAUGAGUAGGAGGGCGUGGCGGCCGUGUCGAAGCGCGCUUGCAGAAGCGUGUGGAACGGCCGCUAGUGCAGAUCUUGGUGGUAGUAGCAAGUAUUCAAGCGAGAUCCUUGAAGGGCGAAGUGGGGAAGGGUUUCACGCGAACAUUGAUUGGGCGUGAGUGAGUCGUUCCUAAGCCGAGUGGCAAUUGCUAAUUAACGGCGAAAGGGAAGCGGGUUGACAUUCCCGCACACGGAUGUGGAGGCGGCGACGCAUUAUUGGGGCGAACACGCUGGCGAUGGCGCUGGGCAGAGUUGUCUUUUCUGUUUGACCGCUUGCGCACGCAGUGUGGAAUCCGCUUGUCGGGAGAAACACGCGUGUACGGGCAGAGCGCUGGGGCUUUUCCAGCGUCCAGCUCGCCAUCGACGGCCCUUGAAACUUUGCCUGCUGAAUUUAAGAUCCACGCCGUGGCGUACCGAUCACCGCAUCAGGUCCCCAAGGUGAACAGCCUCUGCUCAAUAUGAAAAAUGCAGGUAAGGGAAGUCGGCAAAUUGGACCCGUAACUUUGGGAAAAGGGUUGGCUCUAGUGCUGCGUGGGAGUGGUUG
RNAcentral lists this ribosomal RNA (965 nucleotides) under Chondrus crispus (carragheen). RNAcentral describes it as "LSU rRNA". It matches the Rfam family "Eukaryotic large subunit ribosomal RNA", at positions 986 to 1976 of the family's 3401-position model. Lineage: Eukaryota; Rhodophyta; Florideophyceae; Gigartinales; Gigartinaceae. The record is from RNAcentral.